Long non-coding RNA from Cryptomeria japonica (Japanese cedar), 704 nucleotides. RefSeq lists it as uncharacterized. Lineage: Eukaryota; Viridiplantae; Streptophyta; Pinopsida; Cupressales; Cupressaceae. The record is from RefSeq and is a predicted model, not a curated record. The transcript has 2 exons.
ACCAAUAUUUCUUUUAAGGGUUUAUUAUUAGUGUCUCAUAUGUUUUUAAAACUAGAAAAAGAGAGCAGAUUUUGGGCAUGAUAAUACACAUAAUAUCAAAUUUAUUUUACACUACAAAAUCAUUAUUUUAGAAAGAGCUUUUUUAUUGGGUUUUGAAGGAUAGAUUAGGGAUUUUACACUAGUAUUAUGUUUGAAAUUUCCAGCCCUCUCUAGAGUUUAUUUACAUCAGAUAUUUAAGCAUUCUUGAAGGGUUUUUAUUGGAAGUAUUAGUUUUCAGCUUUGGAGAUUUAUUUACCAGUUAUUUGGGGUUCUUUGGAGGAGCUGAAACAUCACUUCCAGGCACUCUUCCAACAAAUAUUAAAGUAGGAUGGGUAUCUUUCAUGUUAUAAAAUAUUUUGAGGAAGCAUAAGCUUCAUGGUUGGGAAAAAAAGCGCCUAAGCCAUAUUCUUGACUCUUGAGUUGUGGAUGACAGAUGUGGUCAAUGGCACUCAGAGGCACAUGACUACUUUUCAUAUAUUUAUUAUUUUUUGUAUAAGGUAGUACAAUGUAUAAUAUUCUUGUAUUGAGUUAUCUCUUGGACAUGAGAGCCUAUGAUGUAAUUAUUAAUUAUCUCUUGUACAUGUGCUAACACCUGGAUUAAGCACUACUUUAUUGAGAUGUAAUGAAAUCAAUUAUAGACAUUGAGAUACUAUCUAUCAUUUUUU